UACGGAGGGUGCAAACGUUGCUCGGAAUCAUUGGGCGUAAAGCGCACGUAGGCGGACCAUCAAGUCGGAUGUGAAAUCCCUCGGCUUAACCGAGGACGUGCAUUCGAAACUGAUGGUCUUGAGUACGAAAGAGGAUCGCGGAAUUCCCGGUGUAGAGGUGAAAUUCGUAGAUAUCGGGAGGAACACCAGUGGCGAAGGCGGCGAUCUGGGUCGAUACUGACGCUGAGGUGCGAAAGCGUGGGGAGCAAACAGG
Molecule: ribosomal RNA, 253 nt
Filed under: uncultured bacterium
Lineage: Bacteria
Description: partial 16S ribosomal RNA
Rfam family: Bacterial small subunit ribosomal RNA
Source: RNAcentral